UAAAGUUGCUGCAGUUAAAAAGCUCGUAGUUGGAUCUGGGUCGUGCGGUCGCGUGACGGCGCUCGUUCAUUUGGCUUGAUCAUUGGUCGGGUCUUUUGUUCGUGCCGGCAUUGUGAUCGUGCAGCCUUUCAGCCGUGUCUGUGUAAACAGGUGUUGGCUGGGCCGGUGAGUUCGCUUGCUAGCCUGUCGACAUGCUUCCGGGUGCCUUUCACCGGGUGUCCGGGGCGGACGGCACUUUUACUUUGAACAAAUUUGAGUGCUCAAAGCAGGCCUGUGUGCCUGAAAAUUCUUGCAUGGAAUAAUGGAAUAGGACUUCGGUUCUAUUUUGUUGGUUUUCGGAUCCGAAGUAAUGGUUAAGAGGGACAGACGGGGGCAUUUGUAUGGCUGCGUGAGAGGUGAAAUUCUGUGAUCGCAGCCAGACAAACUACAGCGAAAGCAUUUGCCAAGAAUGUUUUCAUUGAUCAGGAGCGAAAGUCAGAGGUUCGAAGACGAUCAGAUACCGUCCUAGUUCUGACCAUAAACGAUGCCAACUGACGAUCCGCGGUGGUUCUUUAUUUGGCCUCGCGGGCAGUCCCCGGGAAACCCUUAAGUCUUUGGGCUCCGGGGGAAGUAUGGUUGCAAAGCUGAAACUUAAAGGAAUUGACGGAAGGGCACCACCAGGAGUGGAGCCUGCGGCUUAAUUCGACUCAACACGGGAAAACUCACCCGGCCC
This 712-nucleotide ribosomal RNA is filed under the name Mesostephanus microbursa. RNAcentral describes it as "SSU rRNA". It matches the Rfam family "Eukaryotic small subunit ribosomal RNA", at positions 605 to 1225 of the family's 1831-position model. Lineage: Eukaryota; Metazoa; Platyhelminthes; Trematoda; Diplostomida; Cyathocotylidae. The record is from RNAcentral.